CAUCCUCCCCAAGUUGAGCUUGGCGAAGCAGGGAGUUUGUUGGGGUUACUUACAGGAGCAGGGGUGACUGGAAGACAGGACAGCAUGGGUGACCGCUGUCUGGAAGCCGUGUAACUGGAGCUGUGUGAGCUGCAGGCAGCUCCCUGCAGAAGUCGCUCUCCUUCCUUCCAGCAGAGCCUGUGCAACUGUGGGGUGAAGCCUUGUAAGCUGUGUUACUUUCUCAGUUUUGUACAUUUUCCUCUUCCACACAGCAGGUGCUUCUCGGGCUAACUCUGCGCUGGAGGAUUGGAUGGCAGGAGCAGGGAAGGAAGGCAUGGCUGGCAGAAAGCUGAGAGAACAGACAGGACCAGGCUCAGCUCACUAAGACUCGAAGAGGAAGGCAACUCUGCCCAUCCAUCUCAUUCCAUUGAGACCCACAGGUCAGGUCUGACCUCGAGUGCAGUAGACCGAAGUACAGGUGCUAGGUCUGUGGGACUCCAUCACAGCAACAGUGAAACCUGCACGCUCUGCAUUGCCGGUCCCACACUGUCACCAGGGAGAUUGCAGAAGUGCUAGUUCCUCGUGGUUACGCCUGGGGUCUGGAGUCUGGCAGGUCUGGGCUGGAAUCCAGACCUGGCCCACAUGGGCCCACAUGCUGCUGCUUGUGCAAUUUUGGACAACUUAUGUCACCGGUGUGAGCCUGUUCCAGCUGCAGAGGGGGAAAGGGACAGAGCCGUUGCUUCACCAGGCUGCUCUGAAGCUUAAAUCAGGUUUCAGUCUUUCGUGGCAGGGAAGUGAAAGCCGCAGAAGUGUGAGAUGUUUGAAGAGCAGCUCAGGACCACUCUGUGGCAUUUCCAACCCAUGGCCUGAUCAGUGGGAGCUGCAGACCAGUCCUUAAUGGCUGGCUGGGCACUGAAGUCUUCAGUAGGAGCUGCUGGAUGGACCCCUGCCGGCCUUUAGACCAGUCUGCUUCCUCCGGCUAAGCAGCGGCCAAUCCAUUUGUCUUGAAAUCACUCUUUGGUUACACCCUUUUCGGCGGUGGCUUGCUUUUUGAUCUUUAUAAAUGUGCAUAUCAGGCAUAACUUCCAUGAAUGGUCACGAGAAGGGAUGCCACGCAUAUGUGGAACUUCUUAGGCCAGACGUCAUCCACCACAUUGGACCUACCGAGUGACCUCCCCUGUUGCGUGUCCGCAAAGCACAGAGGAGAAGCUGUGCGACACCGAGCCACGGUGGGCAGGUUGAUAUGAGACCCGGGGGUCAGCCAUGGGGUCAUUCAUCAUCCAAAGGUGUGGCUCUCUGGAGGUUGGCUGGAUCUGGUUAGUGAAGGUCCAGGAAAGAAGCGGCCAGCAAUUGAGUGGCUCCAGGAACAGCGGAACUCGGGCACAGCUAGCUGCUCAUGUGCAGGAGGAGCUGGCUCUGAGGUCAGGAGGAGUCUCAAUAACGCCAAUGGCUAGAGCAGCAGGGGCCUGCAAGCAGCAGCAGCUUCUCGCAGUGUCUUCAGAUUUAUGAUGCGAUGCGGAUGAUAUCACUUUGCUCUCUGUGGAGACUCUAUAAGGAAGUCAAGGUUGGUGCCGCCCAUGUAGGUUUCUGCUGCAAGGGAUCUGAGAACAUCCAUUUCCUUAAUCUUCAGGACAUCAAGGACUCCAGACAUUGUGGUUUUCCUAUAAGUUACGGCAAGAAUCAAGAACAAUGCUCAACAGUGCAGUGUGGACCUUCCUGGGCAGUGGGAAGCCGCCUUUUGUUUCUUCUUUUUCUGUUUGGUUGGGAAUGUUCAGCCCUGUAAUGAGGUCAUGUGAGAAGCUGUUUCCUUACUUCAGGCCCUGGUUAUUCAUAUUCUGGAAGGCGGUGUCCCAGCAGCUGACUCUUGGAGGCCCGGCUUUCCUUUAUUUUUAAUUAUUUCCUUAAUUAGUUAUUUGGGUCAUUAAAGUUUAGGAAUACUCGUUGGCCAGUAAAAAGCAAACAGAGGAACAGUUUCGGUGUCGAAGGUUGUACCUGUUGUGAUGUGGGAGCUGAGGGAUGUGGAAUUUGAGGCUUUGGGGAAUCCCCAUAAGAGGAGAGAAAAUGAGGACAGGAGACAGAUUUAUAUAUCAGCAGCUGUGCUAGCUGCCCAGCGAUGUUCUUGGGUCUUCAGAGGAGCUCCUUAGUGUUGACCUUUGCUGCCGAGGCUCUAUGAGUGAAAAAGAAACAUGGAUUCUAAUUGUCCCCGAGGGCACAGGCAUUUCGUGCUCUGGUGUAGGAGGGGACGGGAGACUGGAAACUAUAUUUCCUGUGUAUCCCACAAGAUUUCAUCCCCUCCUUUUGUUAUUUUCUUUAUGUAGCU
Molecule: long non-coding RNA, 2299 nt
Organism: Meriones unguiculatus (Mongolian gerbil)
Lineage: Eukaryota; Metazoa; Chordata; Mammalia; Rodentia; Muridae
Exons: 4
Source: RefSeq, a predicted model, not a curated record